Long non-coding RNA from Triplophysa dalaica, 2959 nucleotides. RefSeq lists it as uncharacterized. The record is from RefSeq and is a predicted model, not a curated record. Lineage: Eukaryota; Metazoa; Chordata; Actinopteri; Cypriniformes; Nemacheilidae. The transcript is spliced from 3 exons.
GGAGGACUCCCGGAGGAGGGGGCUGAAUGUUUUGACGACAUAUGUUACAGAAUUUAUAUUACUUCAUUGAUUGGCAAUUAGUUGUAAUCUGAAAGUGUCAAUCAAUGCAUGCGAGUAAAACGGUGACCAUAAAUUAAAGUAACAAAGUUGCUUGUCAAAUUUUCCUAACAAGCAACAUUUAUUUUUUAAAUAAGCCCAAAAAAACGCAACCCGCGACUUAUGAUUUUUUACCGCAACUUGAUAAAAAAACAAGCCCAAAGUCGCGGAUUAUAAGCGGACUUGGAAACUAUGUCUCCUGUCCUCCUUUCCUGCCUGGAAUGCUGCACACACACACACAACCCCCACAUCCUGUUGAAAAUUCCGUUUUGCACUAAUAUUCUCCCUUAACUCUGAGACCCUACUCAACAUAGUAAAAUAAUGCAAUGUUAUAUUAGGUAAGCCGUAAUAAUCAUAUGAAAAAACACACACAGAAAAUGCAAUAGAUAUAAACCCUUAGAUAAAACAUAUAGAACCCAGAUAAAAUAUAUAAAACCCUUCACUUAGGAAAACAUCACUGACCUUAACUGAUGGGAAAAUAGUAAAAGAGCGUCUGAAGGCAAACAGGUUUAGAAGGAAAAUAAAUUGAUGAACUAAUUUAAAGAGUAGGUAGCAUGAGAUCAUGAAUAGACAUUUCAUGCAGUCUGUUAUGUUGCCGUGUUUGAAAGUAAGCUGUCUGCCAAGUUGUAAGUCCGAAGGUGAAUAAAAAACAAAGUUAUUUGCUUGUAAAAAUGGGAGUCGACUCUGAAUCACACAAACGAGACGUGGACUAGUUCACCCGUGUAUCUACGUCACUAGACAUAGUCCCCGCCUACGUUUUGCUGAGACUGACGUGAAAACGUAAUUCUCCUCCCCCAAACACUGUCGCUCAUUCGUGAUGCGUGUGUAUCAUGUCUAGAACCUGUGUUCAUGUCCGUCUUAUUUUAACUACCAAAGGAAGAAUGUCUGAAGGAAAAAUGGUUACAAUUCAUUUUUCAAACGAUACCAAAGGAUUAUAACCCCGGGGUUUAACCGUGCGCGCGUCAUUUCACCGAAGAUUGCUUUAAUAAUAUUGGCGCAUUCAGUGCAGGAUAUGUGAAACGACUAUCCUUGAAAGAAGGGGCAAUGGCAACUUUAUUUGGACCUGUUAGCCCCACCGAAUCACAACCUCCUUUCUCUUCUUCCCGUUUGGAUGCACUUUUGUCCGUGUUUUGCACCGUUUGUCUGUAUCCAUCAUCUCAGGAGUCAGUCCUGCCGGUACACAUACAUCAAGGUUAAUUUCAAAGGUUUACCUGUAACCUGCUGUCCUGCUAAAUGGUGUGCAUCUCCUUAAGGGGACAGACAUAUCAUCAAAGACUACCUCGCUGUUAAACCCGAAUGGAUCAUCCUGACAUGGAACUGAAAUCUGCAUAAAGUUGUAAUACAAUCUUUAGCUGCCUGCUCUACAAUGAUAGCUUCAUUGUUUAUGUAAAGAUAUUGUGUGCUCUGUAAUUUACAUACUUUUUCAGUAUCUUUACACUGAACAGGUACCUGUAAAUAAAAUUCAUGCUCAUUAUGCUCCUGAAAAUAGUAAACUGUACAGUGCUCACUCAAAAUAGUGAGCACUGUACAAAGAUUAACAUGUUUGUACAGGGAUAUCCAAAACUCAAGGAUACUAACAAAAUGUUAAAAACAGGCACAAUGCUUUUCAACAAUUCGUCUCCACAAACGAAUCAUGCAUUUAAACGUACUAAAUGACUAAAAUCACUAAGACAUGCAAACAUGACCUCAGCACAAUGAAUUAAUAUUUUGCUAAUUCAUGUAAAGUUAACCGGGAUUUGCACUUUUCCGAUGGACACGCGGUUGGCCCUGCGUCCUACCUAACUGUAGUCAAAAACGUACGAUCUGAAUUAACCAGAUAGUGAUCUAUCUCUGUCAACACAUUUUCACUGUAUGAUGUAAAUCAAUCAAAUAAUUUCCCUCAAUCGAAUCAACAUCCUCAAAACUAAAAUUAAUCUUUGAGUAAAUCCAUGAGCAACACAAGCUAAUGUUAACACGCUAACAUCAAAACUAUUUAUAAAACACUGGUCCUCAAUACCAGUAUUAUAUCGUAUGUGUCAAUUUUUACGUUCCACGGAAUAUUUUUUUCUUGUUUGUAUAAAGUUUGCAUAAAUAAAAAUUACCCUCUCUAUUCCAACACCUGCACGUGUCAUUGCUGAAGCCUUUCACAGUAAAACGAAAGUAUGUAUGUCGCAUCCGGGUGUUUCCACCGUCAUUGAAAAAUUAAUCAUUUGUUUUUAAACUUUCUUGUUCUGACUCAAAACAAAAAUAUAGUUAUACAUUUCAUGCAGUCACCUUCCUAGCUGCAUGGUUUCAUUUCCUUUUGGUUUAUUAAGUAUGGAAAGUACGAAUAUGGCAUUUCUCACACUUCCCACAUUUACAUUUUAACUUAAAAUACGUAUUUGUAUAGAACAGUAUUACACAUUGUGAAACUUUGGUUUGUUUUGCACAAUGAGCAUGAAUUAUCAUAAGAAUUAUACGAUUACUUUUAGAGUGUAUUUCUGCAUUGAAAAAUUCUGUGAAAAAUACCAGAUCCAUGUCAAAAUCUAUGUGUCAGAAACAAAUUAGAUUUUCUCAAGGUUUCUCAUCACCACAAGGUGAUGAUAUUGCACUACAAAAGACAAGGCAUGAUCACAACAAUAAAUCAUCUUUAUUUUCCUUAAUAGACAUGUUUGAACAAAAGGAAUGAUAUUUGGUUUUUUCUCAAGUAUUGGCCAGGGUUUGGAUUUUGUUUUUUUAUUGUUGGAACAGCAACCCAACAAAAGCCAUUCAAAAACAGACUGUUUUGUACAGUGUCUACAACUACCUACUACCUCCACAAGAGGGCGAUACAUAAGAGUAACUCAAUAAGAGUCCACAUCAUACAGCUCUUCCCAGGAAGUGCUUAGGGAGAGGUUUACUCACA